This 546-nucleotide ribosomal RNA is filed under the name Triticum aestivum (bread wheat). Its description in RNAcentral is "partial small subunit ribosomal RNA". The record is from RNAcentral. Lineage: Eukaryota; Viridiplantae; Streptophyta; Magnoliopsida; Poales; Poaceae.
AUGGCCGCGCUCUCUCCAGAUUCCCUCCCCCAUGGCCACGGAGACCAUGGCCAUGCAGCCGCCGUGGUGAUUUUCGCACCGACGACGGUGCUGCAAUCAGCACCAGCCGUAGAUGGAGACGAAAGCCCCACUGAUGUUGCAAACCAGCAACUACGACGGUACUGCAACCACUGCUCGUCACCAUGGUCGGACUACAAUCGACCACGACGAUGGUGGAUUUCCUUUUUUUGCUACAACCAUGUGUUGUUUUUGCUGGAACCGGCCCAUGUUUUUGCUACCACCCACCCUCCCAAAAUUUGCUACCAGGUGAUUUUUGCUGCAACCGAUGAACCAUUUUGCUACAACCGUUUCGAUUUUUUGUUACUAUCGGUGUUUGUCGAUUUUUGCUACAUCCAUCUUCUGUUUUUCCUGUCUUUUUUGCUACAACCCUAUUUUGAUUUUGCUGGAAUUGAAGACAUUUUUUGCUACAGCCACCCACAGCGAUGUUGUUCAACGACGGCGAUGCCUUUUUUUGCUACAACCGUCUCGGAUUUUUGCUACUAUUGA